This 96-nucleotide signal recognition particle RNA is filed under the name Chamaesiphon sp. Its description in RNAcentral is "signal recognition particle sRNA small type". It matches the Rfam family "Bacterial small signal recognition particle RNA". From Rfam's summary of the family: The signal recognition particle (SRP) is a universally conserved ribonucleoprotein involved in the co-translational targeting of proteins to membranes. Archaeal SRP consists of a 7S RNA and homologues of the eukaryotic SRP19 and SRP54 proteins. The record is from RNAcentral. Lineage: Bacteria; Bacillati; Cyanobacteriota; Cyanophyceae; Gomontiellales; Chamaesiphonaceae.
GACUCGGCCCCAUGCGGUCGUAACGCCCAAACCUUGUCAGGACCGGAAGGUAGCAGCAAUAGGGAUGCUUAUCACAGGCGUGGAAUCCGAGUCUUA